AACGGAGCAGCGCCUUCUCGUUGAGCUUUGUUCAAUUUUGCUCAGCAAGACUGCAUACAGCUCCAUCGAGUGGGAGAUAGAGAAGUGGGAAGGAAGAUGCUGUUCCAGCCACCAAAUGUCCAGAAGACAGAAGGCAAUUUUCCAAGCAUGGAUACUACCAGCAGCCCCUGUCCCAUUGGUUGUAAUUGGGAUAAAAACACAUGGAAUUGUUAAAAAUUGAUGGUAGGGAUCACAGU
This 236-nucleotide long non-coding RNA is filed under the name Rattus norvegicus (Norway rat). RNAcentral describes it as "long non-coding RNA NONRATT021058". The record is from RNAcentral. Lineage: Eukaryota; Metazoa; Chordata; Mammalia; Rodentia; Muridae.